RNAcentral lists this ribosomal RNA (483 nucleotides) under uncultured bacterium. RNAcentral's name for it is "partial 16S ribosomal RNA". It matches the Rfam family "Bacterial small subunit ribosomal RNA", at positions 28 to 507 of the family's 1533-position model. The record is from RNAcentral.
GACGAACGCUGGCGGCGUGCUUAACACAUGCAAGUCGAACGCUGAAGCUCAGCUUUUGUUGGGUGGAUGAGUGGCGAACGGGUGAGUAACACGUGAGUAACCUGCCCCCUUCUUUGGGAUAACGCCCGGAAACGGGUGCUAAUACUGGAUAUUCACUGGUCUUCGCAUGGGGGUUGGUGGAAAGGGUUUUUCUGGUGGGGGAUGGGCUCGCGGCCUAUCAGCUUGUUGGUGGGGUGAUGGCCUACCAAGGCUUUGACGGGUAGCCGGCCUGAGAGGGUGACCGGUCACAUUGGAACUGAGAUACGGCCCAGACUCCUACGGGAGGCAGCAGUGGGGAAUAUUGCACAAUGGGCGCAAGCCUGAUGCAGCGACGCCGCGUGAGGGAUGGAGGCCUUCGGGUUGUGAACCUCUUUCGCUCAUGGUCAAGCCGCAACAAUGGUUGUGGUGAGGGUAGUGGGUAAAGAAGCGCCGGCUAACUACGUG